This 1475-nucleotide ribosomal RNA is filed under the name Lactiplantibacillus plantarum. RNAcentral's name for it is "bacterial SSU rRNA". It matches the Rfam family "Bacterial small subunit ribosomal RNA". The record is from RNAcentral. Lineage: Bacteria; Bacillati; Bacillota; Bacilli; Lactobacillales; Lactobacillaceae.
CGGCCGGGGGUGCCCUAAUACAUGCAAGUCGAACGAACUCUGGUAUUGAUUGGUGCUUGCAUCAUGAUUUACAUUUGAGUGAGUGGCGAACUGGUGAGUAACACGUGGGAAACCUGCCCAGAAGCGGGGGAUAACACCUGGAAACAGAUGCUAAUACCGCAUAACAACUUGGACCGCAUGGUCCGAGUUUGAAAGAUGGCUUCGGCUAUCACUUUUGGAUGGUCCCGCGGCGUAUUAGCUAGAUGGUGGGGUAACGGCUCACCAUGGCAAUGAUACGUAGCCGACCUGAGAGGGUAAUCGGCCACAUUGGGACUGAGACACGGCCCAAACUCCUACGGGAGGCAGCAGUAGGGAAUCUUCCACAAUGGACGAAAGUCUGAUGGAGCAACGCCGCGUGAGUGAAGAAGGGUUUCGGCUCGUAAAACUCUGUUGUUAAAGAAGAACAUAUCUGAGAGUAACUGUUCAGGUAUUGACGGUAUUUAACCAGAAAGCCACGGCUAACUACGUGCCAGCAGCCGCGGUAAUACGUAGGUGGCAAGCGUUGUCCGGAUUUAUUGGGCGUAAAGCGAGCGCAGGCGGUUUUUUAAGUCUGAUGUGAAAGCCUUCGGCUCAACCGAAGAAGUGCAUCGGAAACUGGGAAACUUGAGUGCAGAAGAGGACAGUGGAACUCCAUGUGUAGCGGUGAAAUGCGUAGAUAUAUGGAAGAACACCAGUGGCGAAGGCGGCUGUCUGGUCUGUAACUGACGCUGAGGCUCGAAAGUAUGGGUAGCAAACAGGAUUAGAUACCCUGGUAGUCCAUACCGUAAACGAUGAAUGCUAAGUGUUGGAGGGUUUCCGCCCUUCAGUGCUGCAGCUAACGCAUUAAGCAUUCCGCCUGGGGAGUACGGCCGCAAGGCUGAAACUCAAAGGAAUUGACGGGGGCCCGCACAAGCGGUGGAGCAUGUGGUUUAAUUCGAAGCUACGCGAAGAACCUUACCAGGUCUUGACAUACUAUGCAAAUCUAAGAGAUUAGACGUUCCCUUCGGGGACAUGGAUACAGGUGGUGCAUGGUUGUCGUCAGCUCGUGUCGUGAGAUGUUGGGUUAAGUCCCGCAACGAGCGCAACCCUUAUUAUCAGUUGCCAGCAUUAAGUUGGGCACUCUGGUGAGACUGCCGGUGACAAACCGGAGGAAGGUGGGGAUGACGUCAAAUCAUCAUGCCCCUUAUGACCUGGGCUACACACGUGCUACAAUGGAUGGUACAACGAGUUGCGAACUCGCGAGAGUAAGCUAAUCUCUUAAAGCCAUUCUCAGUUCGGAUUGUAGGCUGCAACUCGCCUACAUGAAGUCGGAAUCGCUAGUAAUCGCGGAUCAGCAUGCCGCGGUGAAUACGUUCCCGGGCCUUGUACACACCGCCCGUCACACCAUGAGAGUUUGUAACACCCAAAGUCGGUGGGGUAACCUUUUAGGAACCAGCCGCCUAAGGGGGGCCCCAGUG